AAAGUACAGGUACAGCAUGUGGGCAUGGCAGUGCAAGCUUCCUGCAUUCUACUCUCACAAUGUUCUUCACCCCUGGCCUGGAGGGACCACCUUCAGA
RNAcentral lists this small RNA (97 nucleotides) under Chrysemys picta bellii (western painted turtle). Its description in RNAcentral is "TUC338 (ENSCPBG00000005351.1)". The record is from RNAcentral. Lineage: Eukaryota; Metazoa; Chordata; Testudines; Emydidae.